This 332-nucleotide ribosomal RNA is filed under the name uncultured bacterium. Its description in RNAcentral is "bacterial SSU rRNA". It matches the Rfam family "Bacterial small subunit ribosomal RNA", at positions 568 to 898 of the family's 1533-position model. The record is from RNAcentral.
CGUGUAGGCGGCCCAACAAGUCUGGUGUGAAAGCCCCCGGCUCAACCGGGGAAGUGCAUGAGAAACUGUUGGGCUUGAGUACGGGAGAGGAUGGUGGAAUUCCCAGUGUAGCGGUGAAAUGCGUAGAUAUUGGGAGGAACACCGGUUGCGAAGGCGGCCAUCUGGACCGUCACUGACGCUGAGACGCGAAAGCGUGGGGAGCAAACAGGAUUAGAUACCCUGGUAGUCCACGCUGUAAACGGUGAGCACUAGGUGUUGGGGGUAUCGACCCCCCCAGUGCCGAAGUUAACACAUUAAGUGCUCCGCCUGGGAAGUACGGCCGCAAGGUUAAA